Long non-coding RNA from Mustela erminea (ermine), 2027 nucleotides. RefSeq lists it as uncharacterized. NCBI's taxonomy places the organism in Eukaryota, Metazoa, Chordata, Mammalia, Carnivora, Mustelidae. The record is from RefSeq and is a predicted model, not a curated record. The transcript has 4 exons.
CCAAGCCGUGUCUGGGAGCGCUGGCGGGGCAUGCGCUGUAGGUACGGUGUGUGUCCUACCACAGUGGGGGGCGGAAGUGAGGGCACGGUCGUCAUCCAAGAGACAGAGCGUGUUUGAGAUGGGCUGUGAGGAAACAAAGGUUGGCUUCCAGCUGGAAGAACAUGGAGCAGGUGCUGCAGGCUGUUCUCUGUAGAGACUCUUUGGAGGAGCAACAUUCUUCCUGUAAUUGUUUCCUCCUGGCAAAGAAGAGCUUCGAGAAAGCGGAAAGUCAGCUCUUCCCUGUGGCUGCCUCUGCCCGAGCCCCCGCAUAGCCUCCCACCUGCGCUUGAUUGGCACUUUGAUGCCCACUGGCUUCUGCUACACCAUGAUUGCACUUCACUCAGGUUCAUGGUGUCUGAUGGAGGGAGAGAGCUAAUUCACGCAGACUCUAUUGAUUUUUGCCUUCUCCGUUCUUCUUACUUCCUCUUUCCCUAGAGGGACAGUUAGGAAAUAGCUAACAAUCCUUGAAGCCAAACUGAGUUUCUGAAUUCAUCGCAUUCUUAAAAUAGUGGACAAGAAAUAAGAAAUCGGGCCUCGGAAAUACCACGCAGAAGCAAAUUAUGUUCCUGUCUGAUGGUGAGACAGCCCUGCAAAUCCACAGCUUCAGGGAUGACAUAUGCUGAGAAAGGAUAUUCCUUGAUGUUAAGAAAAUAAUGGGCUGGCUUGUACAAGAAUGGAAGAUGAAACUGCUCAUGAAUGGAAGAGGCCAUCAGCGGCACGGUGGGACUGGGACAUGAAGGAUUUGUAAAUGGGCAGACGACCAAAUGAGUUUGUACAAGAGGGUUGUAUCAGUAGUUGAACACUGGACAGGUAUUAAGUGCAUUCACACUGUGGCAGUCAUCACUACCAUUCAGCUCCAGAACCUGCUCAUUAUCCUAAACUGAGACUCAGCAUUCACUCAACACGAACCCCUCACUCUGACUGACACUUAGCCUCCGCUCACCACUCUUCCACUGUCUCCAUGGAUUCGACUACUCUAGGUACAAUAUUUGUCCUUUUGGGUCCAGCUUGUUUAACGUAGCAUGUCUUCAGGGUUCAUCUGUGUUGUAGCAUGUAUCCAAAUUUCAUUCUUUUUUGAGGCUGAAUAAUAUUCUCAGUAUAUACCACAUUCUGCUUAUCCAGUAUUCUGACAAUGGCCUUUUUUAUUUGUUUCCACCUUUUGGCUAUUGUGAAUAAUGCUGCUAUGAGCGUUGGUGUUUAAAUUUCUGUUUGAGUCAGCUGCUUUCUGUUCUUUGGGGUACACACCUGGAAGUGGGGGUGUUGGAUCAUAUGGUAACUUUGUGUUUAAUUUUGAGGGGAAUAGCCAUAUUCUCUUCCACAGUGGUGGAACCAUUUUAUUAUUGCCACCCACAAUGCACAGUUUCCAGUUUCUCCACAUUCUUGCCAAUAUUUACUUUCUGGGGUUUUUUUUGGAGGUAGAGGGAUGGAUAAUAGCAAUUCUAAUUAGUGUGACCUCGUAUCUUAUUGUGAUUUUGAUUUGUAUUUCCUUAAUGAUCAGUGUUGUUGAACAUAUCUGUUCAUGUACUUAUUGGCCAUUUGUAUGUCUUUUUUGGACAAUUGUCUAUUCAAGUCACAUCUUGACCAUCACUUCUUUCUUGAAACUCUUGUCCGCCAACGCCCUGUUUUCCUCUGGCUCUCCCCUCCAUCUCUCUGCUCACCUUUUAAUCUCUUUUUCUUCUCUAAUCUUCUCAUUUUAUUGUGGUCCAGGUCCCUAGAGUUAGGGAACUUCCCUGUACUAAUUUUGCUCAUGCCACUUCAGGAAAUUUAAUGGCUGGUGUGAGAUUCAAGAGAUAGAUUCCCAAUGAAGGAAUCAAUUACUCUAUUAAUAUAUUACAAAUAAAUGAAUAAAAUGAAACAAAAAAGUAGAGUUAAAAUGAGAAUAAAAGAAGAAAAACUGAAUACCAAGAAAUACUGAGGUAAUCACAAGAGUCAGGAAAGGCAAAAAAGAAGGAGGAGGGGAGGGAGGAACAGGAGGAGGAAGAGAAGAG